RNAcentral lists this ribosomal RNA (253 nucleotides) under uncultured bacterium. RNAcentral describes it as "partial 16S ribosomal RNA". It matches the Rfam family "Bacterial small subunit ribosomal RNA", at positions 524 to 776 of the family's 1533-position model. The record is from RNAcentral.
UACGUAGGGUGCGAGCGUUAAUCGGAAUUACUGGGCGUAAAGCGUGCGCAGGCGGUUCUGAAAGUCAGCUGUGAAAGCCCCGGGCUUAACCUGGGAACUGCGGUUGAAACUACAGGACUAGAAUCUGGCAGAGGGGGGUGUAAUUCCACGUGUAGCAGUGAAAUGCGUAGAGAUGUGGAGGAACACCGAUGGCGAAGGCAGCCCCCUGGGCUGAGAUUGACGCUCAGGCACGAAAGCGUGGGGAGCAAACAGG